Molecule: ribosomal RNA, 467 nt
Filed under: Sodalis endosymbiont of Rhizoecus sp. 4
Lineage: Bacteria; Pseudomonadati; Pseudomonadota; Gammaproteobacteria; Enterobacterales; Bruguierivoracaceae
Description: bacterial SSU rRNA
Rfam family: Bacterial small subunit ribosomal RNA
Source: RNAcentral
CUACGGGGAGCUGCAGUGGGGAAUAUUGCACAAUGGGGGAAACCCUGAUGCAGCCAUGCCGCGUGUGUGAAGAAGGCCUUCGGGUUGUAAAGCACUUUCAGUGGGGAGGAAGGCAAACGGCAUUAAUAAUGCCAUUUGAUUGACGUUACCCACAGAAGAAGCACCGGCUAACUCCGUGCCAGCAGCCGCGGUAAUACGGAGGGUGCGAGCGUUAAUCGGAAUUACUGGGCGUAAAGCGUACGUAGGCGGUUUAUUAAGUUAAAUGUGAAAUCCCUGGGCUUAACCUAGGAACUGCAUUUAAAACUGGUAAGCUAGAGUCUCGUAGAGGGGGGAUAGAAUUCCAGGUGUAGCGGUGAAAUGCGUAGAGAUCUGGAGGAAUACCAGUGGCGAAGGCGACCCUCUGGACGAAAACUGACGCUCAGGUACGAAAGCGUGGGGAGCAAACAGGAUUAGAUACCCUUGUAGUC